This 364-nucleotide ribosomal RNA is filed under the name uncultured bacterium. RNAcentral's name for it is "partial 16S ribosomal RNA". It matches the Rfam family "Bacterial small subunit ribosomal RNA", at positions 282 to 658 of the family's 1533-position model. The record is from RNAcentral.
GGUAGCCGGCCUGAGAGGGNGACCGGCCACACUGGGACUGAGANACGGCCCAGACUCCUACGGGAGGCAGCAGUGGGGAAUAUUGGGCAAUGGANGAAACUCUGACNCAGCGACGCCGCGUGCGGGAUGAAGGCCUUCGGGUUGUAAACCGCUUUCAGCAGGGAAGAAGCGAAAGUGACGGUACCUGCAGAAGAAGCACCGGCUAACUAUGUGCCAGCAGCCGCGGUAAUACAUAGGGUGCAAGCGUUGUCCGGAAUUAUUGGGCGUAAAGAGCUCGUAGGUGGUUNGUCACGUCGGAUGUGAAACUCUGGGGCUNAACCCCNNACCUGCAUUCGAUACGGGCNANCUKGAGUAUGGUAGGGGA